Molecule: ribosomal RNA, 431 nt
Filed under: uncultured cyanobacterium
Lineage: Bacteria; Bacillati; Cyanobacteriota
Description: bacterial SSU rRNA
Rfam family: Bacterial small subunit ribosomal RNA
Source: RNAcentral
GAUUGGGGAAUUUUCCGCAAUGGGCGAAAGCCUGACGGAGCAACGCCGCGUGAGGGAUGAAGGCCUCUGGGCUGUGAACCUCUUUUAUCAAGGAAGAAGAUCUGACGGUACUUGAUGAAUAAGCCACGGCUAAUUCCGUGCCAGCAGCCGCGGUAAUACGGGAGCGGCAAGCGUUAUCCGGAAUUAUUGGGCGUAAAGCGUCCGCAGGCGGCCCUUCAAGUCUGCUGUUAAAAAGUGGAGCUUAACCCCAUCGUGGCAGUGGAAACUGUUGGGCUUGUGUGUGGUAGGGGCAGAGGGAAUUCCCGGUGUAGCGGUGAAAUGCGUAGAUAUCGGGAAGAACACCAGUGGCGAAGGCGCUCUGCUGGGCCAUCACUGACGCUCAUGGACGAAAGCCAGGGGAGCGAAAGGGAUUAGAUACCCCUGUAGUCAAU